UACGUAGGGGGCAAGCGUUGUCCGGAUUUAUUGGGCGUAAAGAGCGUGUAGGCGGCCAGAUAGGUCAGCUGUGAAAACUCGAGGCUCAACCUCGAGAUGUCGGCUGAAACCAUCUGGCUAGAGUCCGGAAGAGGAGAAUGGAAUUCCCGGUGUAGCGGUGAAAUGCGCAGAUAUCGGGAGGAACACCAGUGGCGAAGGCGGCGAUCUGGGAAGAUACUGACGCUGAGGUGCGAAAGCGUGGGGAGCAAACAGG
RNAcentral lists this ribosomal RNA (253 nucleotides) under uncultured bacterium. RNAcentral describes it as "partial 16S ribosomal RNA". It matches the Rfam family "Bacterial small subunit ribosomal RNA", at positions 524 to 776 of the family's 1533-position model. The record is from RNAcentral.